GGUCUAAUACCGAAUAGGACCGCGCGCUUCAUGGUGUGUGGUGGAAAGCUUUUGCGGUGUGGGAUGGGCCCGCGGCCUAUCAGCUUGUUGGUGGGGUAAUGGCCUACCAAGGCGACGACGGGUAGCCGGCCUGAGAGGGUGACCGGCCACACUGGGACUGAGAUACGGCCCAGACUCCUACGGGAGGCAGCAGUGGGGAAUAUUGCACAAUGGGCGCAAGCCUGAUGCAGCGACGCCGCGUGAGGGAUGACGGCCUUCGGGUUGUAAACCUCUUUCACCAGGGACGAAGCGCAAGUGACGGUACCUGGAGAAGAAGCACCGGCCAACUACGUGCCAGCAGCCGCGGUAAUACGUAGGGUGCGAGCGUUGUCCGGAAUUACUGGGCGUAAAGAGCUCGUAGGUGGUUUGUCGCGUUGUUCGUGAAAACUCACAGCUUAACUGUGGGCGUGCGGGCGAUACGGGCAGACUAGAGUACUGCAGGGGAGACUGGAAUUCCUGGUGUAGCGGUGGAAUGCGCAGAUAUCAGGAGGAACACCGGUGGCGAAGGCGGGUCUCUGGGCAGUAACUGACGCUGAGGAGCGAAAGCGUGGGGA
Molecule: ribosomal RNA, 593 nt
Filed under: Mycobacterium sp.
Lineage: Bacteria; Bacillati; Actinomycetota; Actinomycetes; Mycobacteriales; Mycobacteriaceae
Description: bacterial SSU rRNA
Rfam family: Bacterial small subunit ribosomal RNA
Source: RNAcentral